UCCCUGGCAGUCCAGUGGUUAGGACUCUGUACUUCCACUGGAGGGGACACAGGUUUGAUCCCUGUUCAGGGAA
Non-coding RNA from Budorcas taxicolor (takin), 73 nucleotides. Lineage: Eukaryota; Metazoa; Chordata; Mammalia; Artiodactyla; Bovidae. The record is from the annotation of a RefSeq genome assembly.